CUCCGGGUCCUGCGCAAGUGGAGCCUGUGAACCAGGUCAGGACCGGAAGGUAGCAGCCUUAAGCGGAUACUCUGCUGUGCCGCGGGGUGCUCGGGGGUG
Molecule: signal recognition particle RNA, 99 nt
Filed under: Phascolarctobacterium sp.
Lineage: Bacteria; Bacillati; Bacillota; Negativicutes; Acidaminococcales; Acidaminococcaceae
Description: signal recognition particle sRNA small type
Rfam family: Bacterial small signal recognition particle RNA
About the family: The signal recognition particle (SRP) is a universally conserved ribonucleoprotein involved in the co-translational targeting of proteins to membranes. Archaeal SRP consists of a 7S RNA and homologues of the eukaryotic SRP19 and SRP54 proteins.
Source: RNAcentral